RNAcentral lists this long non-coding RNA (237 nucleotides) under Homo sapiens (human). RNAcentral describes it as "HSALNT0251175". Lineage: Eukaryota; Metazoa; Chordata; Mammalia; Primates; Hominidae. The record is from RNAcentral.
CCUGUCACCAGGUUCCGGAUGAGGAGGGCCUCGUCCUCUUUGUGGUACUCCAGCAUGCCCUGGAAAUCCUUCUCUUUCCGCUGGACCGUGACCUGCCUGUUGAGCUCAUGGCGCUUCCUCUCACUCUGGGCCAAUGCCUGGGCAGCUGAGCAGGAAAGAAAACAGGAAGCAUGGAUGAGACUUCCAGCUGCAGGCCUGAGGGUUUUCUACCAGUUCUUUAAGGUCCUGGAAGCAGAG